Molecule: ribosomal RNA, 301 nt
Filed under: uncultured bacterium
Lineage: Bacteria
Description: partial 16S ribosomal RNA
Rfam family: Bacterial small subunit ribosomal RNA
Source: RNAcentral
CAGCAGCCACGGUAAUACGUAGGUCCCGAGCGUUGUCCGGAUUUAUUGGGCGUAAAGCGAGCGCAGGCGGUUAGGUAAGUCUGAAGUUAAAGGCUGUGGCUUAACCAUAGUACGCUUUGGAAACUGUUUAACUUGAGUGCAAGAGGGGAGGGUGGAACUCCAUGUGUAGCGGUGAAAUGCGUAGAUAUAUGGAGGAACGCCGGUGGCGAAAGCGGCUCUCUGGCUUGUAACUGACGCUGAGGCUCGAAAGCGUGGGGAGCAAACAGGAUUAGAUACCCCAGUAGUCCCUGUCUCUUAUACC